Molecule: ribosomal RNA, 253 nt
Filed under: uncultured bacterium
Lineage: Bacteria
Description: partial 16S ribosomal RNA
Rfam family: Bacterial small subunit ribosomal RNA
Source: RNAcentral
UACGUAGGGUGCGAGCGUUGUCCGGAAUUAUUGGGCGUAAAGAGCGUGUAGGCGGUCUGCCGCGUCUGCUGUGAAAAUCCGGGGCUCAACCCCGGACUUGCAGUGGGUACGGGCAGACUAGAGUGUGGUAGGGGAGACUGGAAUUCCUGGUGUAGCGGUGAAAUGCGCAGAUAUCAGGAGGAACACCGAUGGCGAAGGCAGGUCUCUGGGCCACUACUGACGCUGAGAAGCGAAAGCGUGGGGAGCGAACAGG